Long non-coding RNA from Ruditapes philippinarum (Manila clam), 2114 nucleotides. RefSeq lists it as uncharacterized. The transcript has 5 exons. The record is from RefSeq and is a predicted model, not a curated record. Lineage: Eukaryota; Metazoa; Mollusca; Bivalvia; Venerida; Veneridae.
UUAACUUUAUAUUUUAAGACCCGAACUGUACACCAUACACGCAGUUUUUUCCUGUGACGUCACAAUUUUACGUCAUUGAAAACUUGUCAUAUGAUUUCGUGAAACUUCCGUCGAAAAAUAAAUAUCAUUUUUCAUCAACAAUAGCGUUUGGAUGGCAAAGAUAAGACAUCCAUGAUUUACACACCAAUGGUCAUAUGAUGAUAUAUCUAAUGUUCAGCUGUGUCUUGUAUUAAGAUGAUACAAGCCACAUUACCAAACCAUGCUGAUGGAACAAACAACGAUAUGAAGGGCGUUGCAUUUCGAAACCCGUUGUGCAUUUCUGAUUUCGGGAUCUACAAGUAAAUAUCAACAUGGCAACAGAUUCUACAACGUUCGUAUUUUGUGCGCAGAAUAUCCAGAAUAGGUCCCAAUUGUCACUCUCAGGGAGAAGGGAAGCAACAGUGUUAACCAUGCUAGCGAUCUGAGUAAUUCAAGUAUACAAGUAUACGAACAAUUACAGGCCAAAUUGUGCACCAAGACUGUAGAAGGGAUUUUAUUCACAAUAGAAACAUUUCAAAUAGCUCCAAUGUUAAGUGUAACCAAGUUAAAAGACCUUUAAGAUCAAAUGCUAACUUUGCUUUAAAGUGUAAUCGCUUGUUCUGUGGUAAGCCUGCUAAAGUUGCAUAUGGUAAACGUAGAUGUUCAUCCUUGUAGAAGUUUUGAUUUUCAGGAAACACAUCGUCGGAACCCACGGUACACAUUCCGUAUAUACUACAUUUAAUAUUAUUACCGAUACAUGUAUACGGUAAAUAGCCUGGGUUACCGAGGAUGCAGGAAACAAUACAACUCAAAUGUUCUGAGAGAAACAAUCUGUUGGGAAAUGUUGUUUUAAACAGACUGUUGUCAGUUUUGGAUUUUCGUCAGAUUCGAAGAAUGUGUAUUUCAGAUCAGACAAUGAAAACCCAAAUAGUUUGGCAUAUGUAUUCAAAAGACACCAAAACGUGAUUGGAAUAGAGAUUUGUUAUCUCCUACCAUUCCUGCAGGCUUUCUCUGGUUGCGACAGUUCUUAAAAUAAUGUGUAAAAAUGAAGUGUUCCGGCAAAAUGCUGCAAUAUUUCAUUCUUCAACAAACAAAGAAGAAAUUAUUACAGGUGGUGAAAAUGCCAUGAGGAUAUUAUCUGAUGGAGUUAGGGAGAUAAAUUUGAGCAGACUGAGAUUUCACAAAUUUGUAAGUAAAACCAUGUCAAGUUCAUCUGUUAUUCAAGUUCAAAGCAUUCCGCCUACGUCUGAUGCUGCGGCGCAACACUCUAUACCGUUAUAUUUUCAAACACAAACAUAGGUUGGAAAUGAUAAACUAGAUCCAGCUGAAUGGGGAUAGGAACUUCUCGAAGGACUCUUGUACCCACAAAAUCUACACAACCCGCUGCUCCAGAUUUUCUUUUAAAUAUUAUCAGAUGCAAUUGCAAAAAAUGCCACUCUUAGAGAUGUACCUGUCGCAAACAUGACCUCGAAUGUUCGGUUGGUUGUGGAGAAUGUCAUUGUAUUAGCUGUUCAAACUGUCGGUCCAUUUCAGAUAUUGAUUUUGCGGACAUGGAGGACUACAUCUUGUAUCGACACAAUGCUCUUAGAACUAAGUUUUUACCUGUUUUGUAUUGAAAUGUAUUCAUAUUUUGUGUUAUUAUUGGCAAUGUACAUGCAUCUGGCAUCUUGUUUUUACAUAAGCAAUAGAGGUUUCACUUUAAGUUAUUCAUAUAAAACUUUGCAGACAAAUAUGUUCUAUAUAUUGAACAGUCUCAUAUUCCUCGCGAAGUAAAUACAAUGUAGCUUUUAAUAAAAACAAAAGAUUUAUAAUAAUACUCUGUUUGCUUGCCAUAUGAAGUAGUUCUUUAAUUAGUAUUGUAGUUAUACUCUUUUAUCCAGUGUCAAAUUAUACUAAAAUUUAUGCACAAUAUUUUACAUAGGUGUCUAUCACAGAACAAUUAACUUGUACUAGCACCAAACUAUGCGCUAUAACUUAAAUGUAGUAAAAUGUUUGAAACAAUCUAACUCCAAAUGUACAAUAGUAUUGUAUAUUUAGAGUUAGAUUGUAUAUUGAAUACAUACUUAUCAAUGCUUUCUUAUAUUUGCUUGUGUUGC